UCCUGAGCCGUUCUGCACCACAGUAGACGAGAGCUACAGAGACAGCUUGGGUCUCAUAGGAGAGCUUUGUCUUUGUGGAGUGUGAAAUAAAGGAUAAUUGCCUACCUCUAGCAAGUGGAUCUUAUUAUGUUGAUGAUUAGUUAUGUCUCCUUAUUUUAAUCUCCGAUUAGGACAGGUUGCCUAUGUUACAUAACAAAGCUCACUCUUUUCACGCUUGGUAAUUUCAAGGGAAAAUAAGGCCAUUGUUAUAAGAUAAUGAUUUUAAAGAGAGUUAUGAGUGGGAGAGGAGAAAAGUGUGUGAUUAUAACAUUUGUAUACAGUGUUUUCCAAAGUAUGACUCUGGCUGAUUUGCUGUUAGAAAAUUAACUUCGUUUGUGCCUGAUGAUCAGCACCUGCUUCCAUGCUGACCAUUUUUUUUGGCUUGGGACUGUUAAAUACUUCCCCAGUGCUGCUUAUUAGAUUGCCACCAAAGCAAGUCAUUUCUAGUAAAUUUGGUGUUUGGGAUUUGCAAAGAGAAUAGGAAAAAAAAAAAAAAAAAAAGAAUGGAGUUCUAGGAAGGGACUUCUAGAUGGUCCCAAGUGAUCCAAUGUGAUCACAGUCUCAGGAUGGAUUGCUUGUAUCAAGUAUCAUCUAACUGUAGGAAUAGCCAGAGUUGAGGCAUGAUAAUGUCUCAGCGCUUUGGGACUUCCCACCUGGCCUGUGGGUUUUUUUAUGAUCUUAUAGAUCUUAGUCAUUUUGAACCUAGUAUUUUUAUAACGUAUUUUUCUUUUAACCGAGAAGAUUAGCACACUGAGUUUGGGGAAAUGUUCUGAUUUCUUUCAAGAGUGUAAAACUAAUACAUUUCUCUCCUAGAAAAUACACCUGUGUUGGUAUUAAUGCCCAACCAUCACCUAAGUGGCGCUCAUAGCCAAGUGCAAGUCCAAGUUGACUUUACAUUCAUUAAUUAGCAGCUGUGCAACUCUGGAUGUGUGGGUUUUAAGAAUGCUAUCUUAAAACUGAAAGGUUUGACAAUAGGUUGGGGAGUCUUCAGCUUGCCUGAUUUAUAGUCAUUCUUGGAGCUUUCAGGAAAACUAUGUAGAAAGGAAAAAGAAAGGCUUCGGGGAUUUCAUUUGGUAAUCAGUUACAUUGUGAACAACGAGUGCCAUUUUCUCUUGAUACUGUAAUUCAGCCAAAACUUUUGCUAAUUAUUCACAAGCUCCCUGUUCAUUCUUGUUUACAAAGUGUCUGUCUUUUACGACAGCUGGAGUUUAGCAAGAAUUCAGAUUAAAACCUCAUCCAACAUAAUAAAUUGCCUUUGAAAAAAUGCUUUCGUUUCAGUUCCUAGUCCUUGGUUAGAACAAAGAGCUAAAAUACAAAAGCAUUCGGUGGAAUGAAACCCUUGAGAUUUGUGAUUAAUUAUUUAUAAUGAAUUCAUAAGAUUAAUAAAUGCAUGCUCUGUUUCUUUAAUGCCUCUUAUCUACAUUAGUAAGGGGCUGAUAAUUUGCAGUUUGGAUUGCUUUUAUAUAAAUAUGACUGUGAAAUAUAAGAUGUACGUUGACACUAGAAUCAAAGUAAUAAUUAAACCUCUAUAAUUAUUUUAUAUUUUAAGGGACCAGAUUUGUUCAAUGGAUUCUUUUGUUUACUUUUAACAUAUUACUAGAACAUAAAAAAAAUCAUAAU
Molecule: long non-coding RNA, 1659 nt
Filed under: Mus musculus (house mouse)
Lineage: Eukaryota; Metazoa; Chordata; Mammalia; Rodentia; Muridae
Description: long non-coding RNA chr12:40790213-40791872
Source: RNAcentral